CCUACGGGGGGCUGCAGUGGGGAAUAUUGCACAAUGGGCGCAAGCCUGAUGCAGCCAUGCCGCGUGUGUGAAGAAGGCCUUCGGGUUGUAAAGCACUUUCAGCGGGGAGGAAGGCGUUAAGGUUAAUAACCUUGGCGAUUGACGUUACCCGCAGAAGAAGCACCGGCUAACUCCGUGCCAGCAGCCGCGGUAAUACGGAGGGGUGCAAGCGUUAAUCGGAAUUACUGGGCGUAAAGCGCACGCAGGCGGUCUGUCAAGUCGGAUGUGAAAUCCCCGGGCUCAACCUGGGAACUGCAUUCGAAACUGGCAGGCUAGAGUCUUGUAGAGGGGGGUAGAAUGCCAGGUGUAGCGGUGAAAUGCGUAGAGAUCUGGAGGAAUACCGGUGGCGAAGGCGGCCCCCUGGACAAAGACUGACGCUCAGGUGCGAAAGCGUGGGGAGCAAACAGGAUUAGAUACCCUAGUAGUC
This 466-nucleotide ribosomal RNA is filed under the name uncultured Klebsiella sp. Its description in RNAcentral is "bacterial SSU rRNA". It matches the Rfam family "Bacterial small subunit ribosomal RNA", at positions 338 to 795 of the family's 1533-position model. The record is from RNAcentral. Lineage: Bacteria; Pseudomonadati; Pseudomonadota; Gammaproteobacteria; Enterobacterales; Enterobacteriaceae.